RNAcentral lists this unclassified non-coding RNA (435 nucleotides) under Diplacus torreyi. Its description in RNAcentral is "partial external transcribed spacer". The record is from RNAcentral. Lineage: Eukaryota; Viridiplantae; Streptophyta; Magnoliopsida; Lamiales; Phrymaceae.
CUUGGUGCGUGUGGGCAUGUCGGAUCCCUGCUCGGGCAGCGACGGCAUGCCGCGCGCAUCUCCUCAGUCGGUGUCGGUUCAAGAGCGUGCUUGCCUUGGCCGGUGUUGGUUUUCUGUGUUUCGUACCUGUUGUGAAGGCACUCGUUGUCCCAAAUGUCCCUUUUCCGUCGUGCGUCGUGCCCCCUUGGGGUGGCGGCGUGGGGCGGACCUUGAAGACCCCCCGAGUUCCGCGCACCGCGUGCUGGAAACAGCGCGUGUGCGUCGGGCCCCGGCGGCGUGCUCGAUCUCUUGGAUGCGGAAUAUUGCGUGGGCACGUGGCCUAAGGCCAUUAUCUGCCCCGAAACAAGCGUUUCACGCUUCGUGCGAACGACUGCCGCGCCCGUCUCGAUCGGGCCAUUGCGGCUCGCAUCGUACGGUAGCGGCGUCGGUGAGGAA